GGGAGCUCUGCCCACGGAGAUCUCAGCUGGAGCUGAGCUUUCCAGCUGCUGCCACUUGUAAACAUGGCCCACUUGCCAAAGAUGCUGGGACAUGCUGAGAUGGACCAGAUCAAAAUGUGAAGCUGAUGAUCAGAGUCUUCACAGGGAUUUAUUUUUUGCUCUGUUAUUGCUGAAUUCUAUUUACUUUUGCAGUGCCCUUCUAUUACUUGUCUUCUCUAUUUUCCAGUUGGUUUCUUAUAUGAGGUUCAAAAUAAAUUUCUUGGAAUGUUAAGGAGAUUGCACCCUUGCAGAGGGUGUAAUUUCACCCAUCUCUGCAGUGACAUUUCCCAUCCUUCAGGACAGCAGAGGUGAAACUCCUCUUUCAGCAGCACAAUUUCAGGAAUAACUAUCCUGAAUUACAAGGAUAGUGAAUUGGAACACAUCCUUUAGAAAGAUGCCUAAUCCCAUUUUUAAAGCUCUGAGUGAUGGCUGAUAUCAUCGUGCUGGAACCAGGCUUUGUGGCGACAUGCCUCUCCCUCCCUCCAGCAUCCAGCUCACCCUGGCCACAUGUGCAGCCCAGGCCACGACCUCGGCCUUGGCUGGGCUCUGACGCCCAUUUAACAGUCAGAGGCUGGAAAGGGAGUUGCUGCUGUGCUAUUUUUAACCAGCUGGACAGUUAAAUAAUUCAGAGGCAGACACACACAGAGUGGUCUGGGCUGUGUGUGGAUCUGAGAGGGAACAAGAGCAUUGUAUCAACCCUGCUGGGCUUGCUUAACCUCAUCAAGCAUGGGUUCUCAGGCUCUUUAAUACAAACAUGAAACAAAAACUAAACUUUCAGAAGUAAAAUCCCUGCCUUACUGGCGUCAAUGGGACUCCUGGCUCUGAGUGCAAUGGAGCCUGGAUCACACUUAGCUGCAAGGCAAGAGCUGUUCAGUAUUUCCUUGCUUUCUAAUGCUGCAUAAUUUUUUUUCCAUGACAAUAAAACCCACUUAUGGUGUGUAGAGUCCA
This 987-nucleotide long non-coding RNA is filed under the name Parus major (Great Tit). Its description in RNAcentral is "lncRNA (ENSPMJG00000014160.1)". The record is from RNAcentral. Lineage: Eukaryota; Metazoa; Chordata; Aves; Passeriformes; Paridae.